GGGCCCGCACAAGCGGUGGAGCAUGUGGUUUAAUUCGAUGAUACGCGAGGAACCUUACCAGGGUUUAAAUGCAGAACGACAGGGGUGGAAACACCCCCUUCUUCGGACGGACUGCAAGGUGCUGCAUGGUUGUCGUCAGCUCGUGCCGUGAGGUGUCAGGUUAAGUCCUAUAACGAGCGCAACCCCUAUCGUUAGUUGCCAGCGGGUCAUGCCGGGAACUCUAGCGAAACUGCCGGUGCAAACCGAGAGGAAGGUGGGGAUGACGUCAAAUCAUCACGGCCCUUACGUCCUGGCCACACACGUGCUACAAUGGCCGGUACAGAGAGCAGCCACUACGCGAGUAGGAG
RNAcentral lists this ribosomal RNA (347 nucleotides) under uncultured bacterium. RNAcentral describes it as "bacterial SSU rRNA". It matches the Rfam family "Bacterial small subunit ribosomal RNA", at positions 917 to 1267 of the family's 1533-position model. The record is from RNAcentral.